Molecule: ribosomal RNA, 122 nt
Filed under: Escherichia coli
Lineage: Bacteria; Pseudomonadati; Pseudomonadota; Gammaproteobacteria; Enterobacterales; Enterobacteriaceae
Description: partial 16S ribosomal RNA
Rfam family: Bacterial small subunit ribosomal RNA
Source: RNAcentral
UUAAAUUGAAGAGUUUGAUCAUGGCUCAGAUUGAACGCUGGCGGCAGGCCUAACACAUGCAAGUCGAACGGUAACAGGAAUCAGCUUGCUGAUUUGCUGACGAGUGGCGGACGGGUGAGUAA